AUAAUAAUGACCGGAGUGUGUACUCAGAAAGGAAGAAGGCCAAGAGAGGAAAUUAAAGAAAAACGGAUUACUAGAUGAUCAUCAGAGGGGCUUAAAAACUUAUUUUAGAUUUACACAAGAAUGGUGGUGAGUACGGUUUAGAGUGGUUAUGUCCUAUGAAUAUAAAAUGAGGGGUUAAUAGUGUUUUUCAUCCCUGUAAUAUAG
Molecule: long non-coding RNA, 204 nt
Filed under: Medicago truncatula (barrel medic)
Lineage: Eukaryota; Viridiplantae; Streptophyta; Magnoliopsida; Fabales; Fabaceae
Description: long non-coding RNA (MTRU_LNC004828)
Source: RNAcentral